GGCUGGUCCGAUUGCAGUGGGUUAUCAGAACUUAUUAACAUUAGUGUCACUAAAGUUGGUAUACCACCACCACCACUGCUAAAUUUGACUGGCUUCAA
Molecule: unclassified non-coding RNA, 98 nt
Organism: Cavia porcellus (domestic guinea pig)
Lineage: Eukaryota; Metazoa; Chordata; Mammalia; Rodentia; Caviidae
Rfam family: Y RNA
About the family: Y RNAs are components of the Ro ribonucleoprotein particle (Ro RNP), in association with Ro60 and La proteins. The Y RNAs and Ro60 and La proteins are well conserved, but the function of the Ro RNP is not known. In humans the RNA component can be one of four small RNAs -- hY1, hY3, hY4 and hY5.
Source: Ensembl